Molecule: ribosomal RNA, 732 nt
Filed under: Microbacterium sp.
Lineage: Bacteria; Bacillati; Actinomycetota; Actinomycetes; Micrococcales; Microbacteriaceae
Description: bacterial SSU rRNA
Rfam family: Bacterial small subunit ribosomal RNA
Source: RNAcentral
GGAGAGCUUGCUCUCUGGAUCAGUGGCGAACGGGUGAGUAACACGUGAGCAACGUGCCCCAGACUCUGGGAUAACAGUUGGAAACAGCUGCUAAUACCGGAUACGAGACGUGAUCGCAUGGUCAACGUUUGGAAAGAUUUUUCGGUCUGGGAUCGGCUCGCGGCCUAUCAGCUAGUUGGUGAGGUAAUGGCUCACCAAGGCGUCGACGGGUAGCCGGCCUGAGAGGGUGACCGGCCACACUGGGACUGAGACACGGCCCAGACUCCUACGGGAGGCAGCAGUGGGGAAUAUUGCACAAUGGGCGAAAGCCUGAUGCAGCAACGCCGCGUGAGGGAUGACGGCCUUCGGGUUGUAAACCUCUUUUAGCAGGGAAGAAGCGAAAGUGACGGUACCUGCAGAAAAAGCGCCGGCUAACUACGUGCCAGCAGCCGCGGUAAUACGUAGGGCGCAAGCGUUAUCCGGAAUUAUUGGGCGUAAAGAGCUCGUAGGCGGUUUGUCGCGUCUGCUGUGAAAACCCGAGGCUCAACCUCGGGCCUGCAGUGGGUACGGGCAGACUAGAGUGCGGUAGGGGAGAUUGGAACUCCUGGUGUAGCGGUGGAAUGCGCAGAUAUCAGGAAGAACACCGAUGGCGAAGGCAGAUCUCUGGGCCGUAACUGACGCUGAGGAGCGAAAGGGUGGGGAGCAAACAGGCUUAGAUACCCUGGUAGUCCACCCCGUAAACGUUGGGAACUA